This 434-nucleotide ribosomal RNA is filed under the name uncultured bacterium. RNAcentral's name for it is "bacterial SSU rRNA". It matches the Rfam family "Bacterial small subunit ribosomal RNA", at positions 28 to 505 of the family's 1533-position model. The record is from RNAcentral.
GAUGAACGCUGGCGGCGUGGAUAAGGCAUGCAAGUCGAACGACCCUUCGGGGGAGUGGCAAACUGGGUAGUAACAGGUAGGAACAUACCCGAAAGUCAGGAAUAACUUGUCGAAAGACAAGCUAAUACUUGAUAGUUCUCUUCGGAGUAAAGAUUUAUCGCUUUCGGAAUGGCCUGCUUCGCAUCAGCUUGUUGGUAGUGUAAUGGACUACCAAGGCUAUGACGCGUAGGGGAGCUGAGAGGCUGACCCCCACCAUUGGCACUGAGACACUGGCCAAACACCUACGGGUGGCUGCAGUCGAGAAUCUUCCGCAAUGCACGAAAGUGUGACGGAGCGACGCCGCGUGAUUGAUGAAGUCCUUCGGGAUGUAAAAAUCUUUUCUCAAGGAGGAAGUUUAUUGACGUUACUUGAGGAAUAAGAGGUUGCUAAACUCG